ACCCGAUGAGGAAGCAGACUCAAAUUGAUAGGAAGUGCCGUAUGAUACUCUAAACAGCAGCGGUGAC
Molecule: small nucleolar RNA, 67 nt
Organism: Mangifera indica (mango)
Lineage: Eukaryota; Viridiplantae; Streptophyta; Magnoliopsida; Sapindales; Anacardiaceae
Product: small nucleolar RNA U49
Exons: 1
Source: RefSeq, a predicted model, not a curated record